UAGUUAGAGGCAUGAUGUACUAUAGGAGAGCUUUGAAGCUUCAAGCGUUCCUUGACAUGGCUUCUGAAUCUGGUAAGCUU
RNAcentral lists this small nucleolar RNA (80 nucleotides) under Oryza sativa Indica Group (long-grained rice). RNAcentral's name for it is "Small nucleolar RNA J33". The record is from RNAcentral. Lineage: Eukaryota; Viridiplantae; Streptophyta; Magnoliopsida; Poales; Poaceae.